Molecule: small nuclear RNA, 163 nt
Organism: Ochotona curzoniae (black-lipped pika)
Lineage: Eukaryota; Metazoa; Chordata; Mammalia; Lagomorpha; Ochotonidae
Product: U1 spliceosomal RNA
Exons: 1
Source: RefSeq, a predicted model, not a curated record
ACACUUACUGGCAGGGAAGAUACCACGAUCACGAAUGUGGUUUUCCUAGGACGAGGCUUAUCCAUUGCACUCUGGAUGUGCUGACCCCUGCGAUUUCCCCAAAUGUGGGAAACUCGACUGCAUAAUAUGUGAUAGUCGGGGACUGCAUUCGUGCGCUCCCCUG